GGAGAGAUCGCCUAGUCUGGCUUAGGGCGCCGCAUUGGAGGUGCGGUGUGGGCGUAAGUCCACCGUGGGUUCAAAUCCCACUCUCUCCGCCA
Molecule: transfer RNA, 92 nt
Filed under: Armatimonadota bacterium
Lineage: Bacteria; Bacillati; Armatimonadota
Description: Armatimonadetes bacterium (groundwater metagenome) tRNA-Ser
Rfam family: tRNA
About the family: Transfer RNA (tRNA) molecules are approximately 80 nucleotides in length.
Source: RNAcentral